Molecule: unclassified non-coding RNA, 314 nt
Filed under: plant metagenome
Description: partial contains 5.8S ribosomal RNA, internal transcribed spacer 2, and large subunit ribosomal RNA
Rfam family: 5.8S ribosomal RNA (bases 1-105)
Source: RNAcentral
GAAAUGCGAUAAUUAAUGUGAAUUGCAGAAUUCAGUGAAUCAUCGAGUCUUUGAACGCACAUUGCGCCCCCUGGUAUUCCGGGGGGCAUGCCUGUCCGAGCGUCAUUGCUGCCCUCAAGCACGGCUUGUGUGUUGGGCUUCCGUCCCUGGCAACGGGGACGGGCCCAAAAGGCAGUGGCGGCACCAUGUCUGGUCCUCGAGCGUAUGGGUCUUUGUCACCCGCUCCCGUAGGUCCAGCUGGCAGCUAGCCUCGCAACCAAUCUUUUUAACCAGGUUGACCUCGGAUCAGGUAGGGAUACCCGCUGAACUUAAGC